CAGCAGCCGCGGUAAUACGAAGGGGGCUAGCGUUGUACGGAUUUACUGGGCGUAAAGCGCACAUAGGCGGACUUUUAAGUCAGGGGUGAAGUCCCGGGGCUCAACCCCGGAACUGCCUUUGAUACUGGAAGUCUUGAGUAUGGUAGAGGUGAGUGGAAUUCCGAGUGUAGGGGUGAAAUUCGUAGAUAUUCGGAGGAACACCAGUGGCGAAGGCGGCUCACUGGACCAUUACUGACGCUGAGGUGCGAAAGCGUGGGGAGCAAACAGGAUUAGAUACCCCUGUAGUCCCUGUCUCUUAUAC
This 301-nucleotide ribosomal RNA is filed under the name uncultured bacterium. Its description in RNAcentral is "partial 16S ribosomal RNA". It matches the Rfam family "Bacterial small subunit ribosomal RNA", at positions 509 to 807 of the family's 1533-position model. The record is from RNAcentral.